RNA transcript from Physcomitrium patens, 2542 nucleotides. It is a transcript of the gene named ruBisCO large subunit-binding protein subunit beta, chloroplastic, with no coding region annotated. NCBI's taxonomy places the organism in Eukaryota, Viridiplantae, Streptophyta, Bryopsida, Funariales, Funariaceae. The record is from RefSeq and is a predicted model, not a curated record.
UCGUCCCCUUUCCUCCGUCAUUCUCUAGAGCAUUCCUUCUUCCGAGCCCCUUCUCUGGCCCUUUUGGAGUUAAAGCCCAGCUCCGUAGUAUUCCUUAUCCUUGUAGUCGAAUUGCCUCGGCCUUCGGUUGGUGUGUGAGUGCGUGAGUGGGUGAGUGAAUACAUUGCAAGGUAUUUGCAAUUCUGCUCUUGGUUGCGUAAUUGAGGUAGUUUUGUGGAUUGGGAAGAAUUUCGUAUCAUGGCUGCUGCUUCCAUGGCUAUAGCCGGGUCUGCUGCGACUGCUUCUCUCAGGGUGAGCUCUGAGAGCCGGGCACCUUCCUCCUUGAGUUCUUCCUCUGCCAUUGGCCGCGUGGGAUUUAGUGGCGGUUUGAACCAGCGGAGGCAGCGGGUUGCGCACCGUACGACGGUUAAGGCUGCGAAGGAGCUGCACUUCAAUAAGGAUGGCUCUGCUAUCAAGAAGAUGCAGGCUGGAGUUGAUAAGCUCGCGGAUCUUGUGGGUGUCACCUUGGGCCCUAAGGGUCGCAACGUCGUGCUUGAGAGCAAGUACGGGUCUCCUAAGAUUGUGAAUGACGGAGUCACCGUAGCCAAGGAGGUCGAGCUCGAAGACCCAGUGGAGAAUAUUGGAGCCAAGUUGGUGAGGCAGGCAUCUGCGAAGACCAACGAUUUGGCUGGAGAUGGCACCACUACCUCCGUGGUGCUUGCACAAGGACUCAUUGCCGAGGGUGUCAAGGUUGUCGCAGCAGGAGCCAACCCAGUUCAAAUUACCAGGGGCAUUGACAGAACUGUUAUUGCCUUGGUGAAGGAGCUGAAGAACAUGUCAAAGGAGGUAGAAGACAGCGAAUUGGCUGACGUUGCUGCUGUUAGUGCCGGCAACAACCCUGAAAUUGGGCAGAUGAUUGCCGAGGCUAUGGGCAAGGUGGGACGCAAGGGUGUGGUUACCAUGGAGGAAGGGAGAAGUGCUGAGAACCACUUGUACGUGGUAGAGGGUAUGCAGUUCGACAGGGGCUACAUUUCCCCCUACUUCGUGACAGACCCCGAGAAGAUGUCUGUGGAGUACGACAACUGCAGGCUCCUCUUGGUCGACAAGAAGAUCACCACUGCUCGUGAUAUGAUUGGGAUUUUGGAGGAAACCAUCCGCGGUGGGUUCCCACUCUUGAUCAUAGCUGAGGAUAUUGAGCAGGAAGCCCUGUCUACACUGGUGGUCAACAAGUUGAGAGGCUCACUUAAGGUUGCUGCUUUGAAGGCACCUGGUUUCGGUGAGAGGAAGAGCCAGUACCUGGAUGAUAUUGCCAUCCUCACCAGUGGAACCGUGAUCCGGGAUGAGAUUGGUCUGGCCCUUGACAAAGUUGGUACUGAAGUGUUGGGUACUGCCGCCAAGGUUGUCCUUACCAAGGAUUCAACCACGAUUGUUGGAGAUGGCAGUACUCAAGAUGCAGUUGAGAAGCGUGUGGCCCAAAUCCGCAACCUCAUCGAAAUCGCCGAGCAAGAAUAUGAAAAGGAGAAGUUGAAUGAGAGAAUUGCUAAGUUGUCUGGAGGUGUGGCCAUCAUUCAGGUGGGAGCUCAAACUGAGACAGAAUUGAAGGAGAAGAAGCUCCGUGUUGAGGAUGCGCUGAACGCUACCAAAGCCGCCGUGGAGGAAGGUAUCGUUGUGGGUGGAGGAUGCACUUUGUUGAGACUGGCCAGCAAAGUGGAUGCUAUCAAGGAAUCUUUAGACAACGACGAGCAAAAGGUUGGUGCAGACAUCGUGAAACGGGCUUUGUGCUACCCUCUGAAGCUUAUUGCCAAGAAUGCCGGCGUGAACGGGAGUGUGGUGGUUGAGAAGGUUCUAGCCAAUGAAAACUCAUCCUUCGGUUAUAAUGCUGCUACUGGUGUGUACGAGGAUCUCAUGGCCGCUGGUAUCAUCGACCCUGCAAAGGUUGUGAGGUGUUGCCUGGAGCACGCUGCCUCGGUCGCCAAGAUUUUCUUGACCUCUGAUGUUGUAGUUACUGAAAUUAAGGAACCAGAGCCUGUUCAAGCUGGCAACCCCAUGGAUGCAUCAGGAUAUGGUUAUUAAGGAGUUGAGCGUUUUGAAUAAUGCCUCUGAUUUUUAAAGCAGAUUUUUUUUAGUAGUAAUUUUGAGAGGGCGACUCUGUAGCAGAGACGGAUGUGUAGCGUAGCUAGCCUCAGUAACGAGAUGAUUGCCUUAGCCUAUAGUGCAACUCUUCUUGUGAAGAGCAGCUACCUACUACUUGGAAUUAGAACAAGAGGUCACAGAAUUCAUUCAAAGAUGUCACACAAGUACUAGAACAUACGUAGACUCUUACAAGUGUACCAGGUUCAGGUUUAGGGUUGCGUUACCCUCUUGGUAGGAAAUGAAACAUGACCUUUGGUCUGUGGAACAUGACACAUGCGCAAUGCAUAAUUUCUUUGAUUCACACCUGGUUGAUUUGAACUUGUCACGGGAAUAGAAGUCAAUUAUGAACUGUUCUUACCCAAUUGCACUGUUAGUUCAAUUGAAAAAUAAUCAUGUGCCCAUCUAAACAAUGUGCCAAUUCAUAUCGAAA